RNAcentral lists this ribosomal RNA (253 nucleotides) under uncultured bacterium. RNAcentral's name for it is "partial 16S ribosomal RNA". It matches the Rfam family "Bacterial small subunit ribosomal RNA", at positions 524 to 776 of the family's 1533-position model. The record is from RNAcentral.
UACGUAGGGGGCAAGCGUUGUCCGGAUUUAUUGGGCGUAAAGAGCUCGUAGGCGGCUUGUCGCGUCGUCCGUGAAAACCCACAGCUCAACUGUGGGCUUGCGGUCGAUACGGGCAGGCUAGAGUACGGCAGGGGAGACUGGUAUUCCUGGUGUAGCGGUGGAAUGCGCAGAUAUCAGGAGGAACACCGGUGGCGAAGGCGGGUCUCUGGGCCGUUACUGACGCUGAGGAGCGAAAGCGUGGGGAGCGAACAGG